Alnus glutinosa is the source of this 661-nucleotide long non-coding RNA. RefSeq lists it as uncharacterized. The record is from RefSeq and is a predicted model, not a curated record. Lineage: Eukaryota; Viridiplantae; Streptophyta; Magnoliopsida; Fagales; Betulaceae. The transcript has 4 exons.
CCAUUUUGUUUCGGAGAAAAACAUGUAUUUGGGACCAUGUUCAUGUAUUUGCUAGUGCUGCACACGCAUAACAAACACUGGGACGAGUCUAUGAAUUGUUUAUAUGGGAUGUUAAUAAUAGUAUGAAUGUGAGAAUAGGUACUUGUUGAGAUGGUGAAGUUGGCCCAGAAACAUGGAGUGAAGGGUACGAAAGGAGACUGGAAGGAGUUUUUGAAUGUUCACGACAAAAAGCUCGGAGCUUGCUUGAGUGACCCAACAAGGAGGUCGAUCAAAUCAUGCGUUGGCUGCUUUUCUCAAGACAUUUGCUAAAGAGGAUGAUUUGAAGUGCCAUGUUAAGCGGGACAUGGUGGAGCAAUUUACAAAGAAUUCCCCAGAUGAUGAAAUCCCCGAGCAGCAGGAAUGGGUGGUUACAAAGCUCAGUAGAAAAUCCAAGGUUAUGAGCUCAAAUGUGGCGCUUGCUGUGAUAAUGAGAUGGUUCUCUGUGAAGAUGGCACUGAAGCUUUGGUGAGAGUUUGUGUUUUGGAUUGCAAUUUACAGAAUACCAAACAAUGUACCUACUGAAGAAUUACAUGAAGUCCUUCCUGGGAUUUUACAAUUGAACUAAAGGUUGAGUAUAUCCUGUUGGUGUCUUUUCUUUCUUUUAUAAGAUCUAUAUUGAGCU